Molecule: ribosomal RNA, 463 nt
Filed under: uncultured bacterium
Lineage: Bacteria
Description: bacterial SSU rRNA
Rfam family: Bacterial small subunit ribosomal RNA
Source: RNAcentral
AGAGUUUGAUCCUGGCUCAGGACGAACGCUGGCGGCGUGCCUAACUCAUGCAAGUCGAGCGAGGAAGCCCUUCGGGGCGGAUUAGCGGCGGACGGGUGAGUAACACGUGGGUAACCUACCUCAAAGAGGGGGAUAGCCUCCCGAAAGGGAGAUUAAUACCGCAUAACAUUAGUUUUUCGCAUGAAGGACUAAUUAAAGGAGUAAUCCGCUUUGAGAUGGACCCGCGGCGCAUUAGCUAGUUGGUGAGGUAAUAGCUCACCAAGGCGACGAUGCGUAGCCGACCUGAGAGGGUGAUCGGCCACAUUGGAACUGAGAUACGGUCCAGACUCCUACGGGAGGCAGCAGUGGGGAAUAUUGCACAAUGGGCGAAAGCCUGAUGCAGCAACGCCGCGUGAGUGAUGAAGGCCUUCGGGUUGUAAAGCUCUGUCUUUGGGGACGAUAAAUGACGGACCCAAGGAGGAAG